AGUGAACGCUGGCGGUAGGCCUAACACAUUCAAGUCGAACGGCAGCACAGUAAGAGCUUGCUCUUACGGGUGGCGAGUGGCGGACGGGUGAGGAAUACAUCGGAAUCUACUUUUUCGUGGGGGAUAACGUAGGGAAACUUACGCUAAUACCGCAUACGACCUACGGGUGAAAGCAGGGGAUCUUCGGACCUUGCGCGAUUGAAUGAGCCGAUGUCGGAUUAGCUAGUUGGCGGGGUAAAGGCCCACCAAGGCGACGAUCCGUAGCUGGUCUGAGAGGAUGAUCAGCCACACUGGAACUGAGACACGGUCCAGACUCCUACGGGAGGCAGCAGUGGGGAAUAUUGGACAAUGGGCGCAAGCCUGAUCCAGCCAUACCGCGUGGGUGAAGAAGGCCUUCGGGUUGUAAAGCCCUUUUGUUGGGAAAGAAAAGCAGCAGGUUAAUACCCCGCUGUUCUGACGGUACCCAAAGAAUAAGCACCGGCUAACUUCGU
RNAcentral lists this ribosomal RNA (491 nucleotides) under uncultured bacterium. RNAcentral's name for it is "partial 16S ribosomal RNA". It matches the Rfam family "Bacterial small subunit ribosomal RNA", at positions 29 to 506 of the family's 1533-position model. The record is from RNAcentral.